Molecule: long non-coding RNA, 798 nt
Organism: Helianthus annuus (common sunflower)
Lineage: Eukaryota; Viridiplantae; Streptophyta; Magnoliopsida; Asterales; Asteraceae
Exons: 3
Source: RefSeq, a predicted model, not a curated record
ACGCGGCUUUCCAUUUUAUGUUGAUCAUCAAAUCAAUUAUUUUUUUUAUAUACAAACAAUUUACCAAAGAUAGGAUAUAAUUCACAAUCCUUCUCUUUGUUUACCUUAGAAUUUAACAAUCCAAAAUCGUUUCCUGCCAUACCUUACCACACCACUCAUCACAGCCGACUACCACCUUCUCACCACCCAUUACAAACUCUCCGCCCUGCCUUUUUCCGUUACAAACCACCAACGCAACCACCGCAAUUGACUCUGCUGAUUCGAAGCAUAAUCGCCGCCACCGUUCCGACUUUGUUCCCUUUUGGCGGAGCACAUACCAUCUCGCCAUGAACCACCAUCACACCGCACCACUCGCCGUCGCAUCUCUUUUCACGGUUUAACUAGGAUUGUCUCAUCGGUGACUCCACACCGCGUACCGCCAUUACUCCAUAGUGUUUCGUCGUGCACAGUCUCUGUAACACCACCUAGUUUCUUGUGCGAAUCAACCACCACAGUUCGUCGCCGGUUAUAAUCAUCACAAUCGCUACCUUUUACGGCCGCCAAUACUAUCACCGCUUUCUCUCGACCCGUUUGUCCAAUCUAUCGUCGAGGUUUGCAUAAGUUUUGAGGAGGACUUUAUUUGUGGGUUUUUGCUUUGCUUGCUAAACUAAGGUAAUCCGGGAAAUGUUGGGAACUAGUGAUGAUGAGAGUAAAAUGCGGUUCAAGAAUAAAGACUUUUAUUUAUUUCAACAUUUUGAAUUAAUUAAUACUUAGGAUUCUUGGUUUGUUUUAAGACUUUGUUUAUCUUUCGAAUUCAAC